RNAcentral lists this transfer RNA (82 nucleotides) under Clostridium sp. Its description in RNAcentral is "tRNA-Leu". It matches the Rfam family "tRNA". From Rfam's summary of the family: Transfer RNA (tRNA) molecules are approximately 80 nucleotides in length. Their secondary structure includes four short double-helical elements and three loops (D, anti-codon, and T loops). Further hydrogen bonds mediate the characteristic L-shaped molecular structure. tRNAs have two regions of fundamental functional importance: the anti-codon, which is responsible for specific mRNA codon recognition, and the 3' end, to which the tRNAs corresponding amino acid is attached (by aminoacyl-tRNA synthetases). tRNAs cope with the degeneracy of the genetic code in two manners: having more than one tRNA (with a specific anti-codon) for a particular amino acid; and 'wobble' base-pairing, i.e. permitting non-standard base-pairing at the 3rd anti-codon position. Lineage: Bacteria; Bacillati; Bacillota; Clostridia; Eubacteriales; Clostridiaceae. RNAcentral also lists the same sequence under 10 other names. The record is from RNAcentral.
GCCGGUGUGGCGGAAUUGGCAGACGCACAUGACUCAAAAUCAUGCGGGUAACACCGUGCCGGUUCGAGUCCGGCCACCGGCA